Nerophis ophidion (straightnose pipefish) is the source of this 935-nucleotide long non-coding RNA. RefSeq lists it as uncharacterized. The record is from RefSeq and is a predicted model, not a curated record. The transcript is spliced from 4 exons. Lineage: Eukaryota; Metazoa; Chordata; Actinopteri; Syngnathiformes; Syngnathidae.
CACUGCCAGAGGAGGUUCUCUGUCCUGACCAAGAGUUUCGGUUGUCAUAUAUCAAACAACUACUGAGUCUGGUUUGCAAAGGUGACAUUACCUUCACCCGAGGCGGGGUGUGACAGAAGUACACCCCUUUGUCCACAACUGCGUUCAGAGAAUCUGGAGAAAUCACUCCACGUAAGCGGCAUGGCCGUGACCUUCUAUCCCUCAGACGGCACUGUACCAAAAACCGACAUCAAUCUCUAAAGGAUAUCACCACAUGGGCUCAGGAACACUUCAGAAAAACCACUGCCACUAAAUACAGUUCAUCGCUACAUCUAUCAUCUGAGAUGGACUGAUGCAAGGUGGUAAAGUGUUAUUGUGCCUGAGGAGUCCACAUUUCAAAUUGUUUUUGUAAAUAUUCGACAUCGUGUCUUUCGGACCAAAGGGGAAGCGAACCAUCCAGACUGUUAUCGACGCAAAGUUCAAAAGCCAGCAUCUGUGAUAGUUUGGGGGUGCAUUAGUGCCCAAAGCAUGGGUAACUUACACAUCUGUGAAGGCACCAUUAAUGCUGAAAGGUACAUACAGGUUUUGGAACAUCAUAUGUUGUCAUCUAAGCGCCGUCUUUUUCAUGGACGCCAGUGCUUAUUUCAGCAAGACAAAGCCAAGCCACAUUCAGCAGGUGUUACAACAGCGUGGCUUAGUAAAAAGAGAGUGCGGGUACUUUCCUGGCCCCCCCACAGUCCAGACCUGUCUCCCAUCAAAAAUGUGUGGCGCGUUAUGAAGCGUAAAAUACGACAGCGGAGACCCCGGACUGUUGAACGACUGAAGCUCUACAUAAUACAAGAAUGGGAAAGAAUUCCACUUUCAAAGCUUCAACAAUUAGUUUCCUCAGUUCCCAAACUUUUUUUGAGUGUUGUUAAAAGAAAAGGUGAUGUAACACAGUGGUGAACAUGCCCUUU